GGCCGGCCUCUGUGUAGUUUUAGAGAGAUAUUCUUUUGCCUCUUUGUUGUUUUUAACCACACAAAAACCCUAAGGAAAAUAUCACUAUAAAGUUCCUUAUAUAGACAAAAGAAACCUAGCCAACAACUUGACCAAAUAUCUCACCAUUUCCACCAAAAGUGGCCGGCCUCUUUGUUGUUUGUUUGGGCUUUGGGCUUUUAAUAUUUCAAGUCAUCCAAUGCUUGAAUAAAAGCCCAAUGGGUUUAGGCCCAAUGGGCCCAAUUAAACCCGAACGUUUCUUUAAGCCCAAAAACGAUCUUUAUCGCUUUUAUGAUUUCUUUAGACUUUCUAAAUUAAUCACAACACUUAAUUAAUCCAAUUAAUUAUUUCCUUCAUCCAUUAGUUACUCACUACAAUAGUGUAUUGGUGAACAAUCUUUUAGGUUCUAAUUAGCAAGGCAGUGAGGUGAUUGGCACCAAUCCAAUUGAUUAUAUUUAAUCCAAUCACUUAGUGAAUUAAAACUUCCUUUUAAUUCACCUUUCUUCUUU
This 527-nucleotide long non-coding RNA is filed under the name Malus domestica (apple). Its description in RNAcentral is "long non-coding RNA (MDOM_LNC004191)". Lineage: Eukaryota; Viridiplantae; Streptophyta; Magnoliopsida; Rosales; Rosaceae. The record is from RNAcentral.